Molecule: non-coding RNA, 82 nt
Organism: Ciona savignyi (Pacific transparent sea squirt)
Lineage: Eukaryota; Metazoa; Chordata; Ascidiacea; Phlebobranchia; Cionidae
Source: Rfam
GUCGUCGUGGCCGAGUGGUUAAGGCAACAGACUUGAAAUCUGUUGGGCUCUGCCCGCACAGGUUCGAAUCCUGUCGGCGACG